GCCACGGCUAACUACGUGCCAGCAGCCGCGGUAAUACGUAGGUGGCGAGCGUUGUCCGGAAUUAUUGGGCGUAAAGAGCAUGUAGGCGGUUUCUUAAGUCUGGAGUGAAAAUGCGGGGCUCAACCCCGUAUGGCUCUGGAUACUGGGAGACUUGAGUGCAGGAGAGGAAAGGGGAAUUCCCAGUGUAGCGGUGAAAUGCGUAGAUAUUGGGAGGAACACCAGUGGCGAAGGCGCCUUUCUGGACUGUGUCUGACGCUGAGAUGCGAAAGCCAGGGUAGCGAACGGGAUUAGAUACCCCGGUAGUCCUGGCCGUAAACGAUGGGUACUAGGUGUAGGAGGUAUCGACCCCUCCUGUGCCGGAGUUAACGCAAUAAGUACCCCGCCUGGGGAGUACGUCCGCA
RNAcentral lists this ribosomal RNA (401 nucleotides) under uncultured bacterium. Its description in RNAcentral is "bacterial SSU rRNA". It matches the Rfam family "Bacterial small subunit ribosomal RNA", at positions 490 to 890 of the family's 1533-position model. The record is from RNAcentral.